CCUACGGGGGGCUGUAGUGGGGAAUAUUGGACAAUGGGCGAAAGCCUGAUCCAGCCAUGCCGCGUGUGUGAAGAAGGCCUUCGGGUUGUAAAGCACUUUCAGUGGGGAAGAAAGCCUUGGGGCUAAUACCCUCGAGGAAGGACAUCACCCACAGAAGAAGCACCGGCUAACUCCGUGCCAGCAGCCGCGGUAAUACGGAGGGUGCGAGCGUUAAUCGGAAUUACUGGGCGUAAAGCGCGCGUAGGCGGUCUGAUAAGCCGGUUGUGAAAGCCCCGGGCUCAACCUGGGAACGGCAUCCGGAACUGUCAGGCUAGAGUGCAGGAGAGGAAGGUAGAAUUCCCGGUGUAGCGGUGAAAUGCGUAGAGAUCGGGAGGAAUACCAGUGGCGAAGGCGGCCUUCUGGACUGACACUGACGCUGAGGUGCGAAAGCGUGGGUAGCAAACAGGAUUAGAUACCCGGGUAGUC
This 465-nucleotide ribosomal RNA is filed under the name Vreelandella stevensii. RNAcentral's name for it is "partial 16S ribosomal RNA". It matches the Rfam family "Bacterial small subunit ribosomal RNA", at positions 338 to 795 of the family's 1533-position model. The record is from RNAcentral. Lineage: Bacteria; Pseudomonadati; Pseudomonadota; Gammaproteobacteria; Oceanospirillales; Halomonadaceae.